AGGGUUGGGUUAUUAUAACCCUAACCCACGUUUGGGGCCCAAUUUAUGGAAACCCUAGUUUUAGGGUUUCCAUAAUCCCUAUUUUACCCCCUUAAGCCCUCCAUUCUUCCUUCCUCAACACUUCAUAAAAAUCCUCCAUCUUCUUCCCCUUAAUCCGUUUUCAACCUUUCAUCAACCCGUCCUCAACCCCUGCAUUUUUUGUCCCUCAACUCCUCUAUAAUUCGUACGCAAAAUCAUGGGUUCAUCUCUUUAAUUGGUUGUGUCAUUCGUUUUCUUGCCGAAAAAAAAUGGUGUUUUCGCUUCCACCCUUCUGUGUUAUCUUCGUAUUCGAAGAUACAAUCGGUUCCACCUUCUCUCUCACUCUCUGAAAUCAUCCUUUGUUUCGUUGAAGGUUUCGUUCCACCGCGUUGCCUCUGGCGUUUUGCUUUCCCCUUUCAGUUUCGUUGAACGACUUGGAUGAAACCUUACCUACGAAAUUGUGGCUUGCAUGUUCGAUGAAUCUUUUUGGUGAACAUGCAAGUCCUUUGUUCUUGCCACUACGACUUUCCCUUGCCGCUUGGACUUUGCUUUUGUCACUCAAACUUCCCCUUGCCGAUUGGACUUUCCCUUUACUGAGAACGGACAGUUGCUACAUAAUCCUUGUGGGCAUUGGUGAUUUUCAAGCAAGGAUGUCUGACUUCAUACUUUCCUUAUAAGAGGUACUAUGGUUUAGCCGUUUGCAGUAAAUUUUUUCCUUUCUUUUCGUAGCAUUUUUUUGUACGAUUUGUACAGUGUAAUUUGAACUAAAAUGUUGCCAUGAACUCUUGCUUUUGUAAUAACAUUUGCUUGGACAUGUAAUUAUUUUUUUUGCAAACGAUAUUAUAUAAUAUUCUUUUCUUUUAUGCAUUAUGAA
Molecule: long non-coding RNA, 892 nt
Organism: Cucumis melo (muskmelon)
Lineage: Eukaryota; Viridiplantae; Streptophyta; Magnoliopsida; Cucurbitales; Cucurbitaceae
Exons: 2
Source: RefSeq, a predicted model, not a curated record